Molecule: ribosomal RNA, 484 nt
Filed under: uncultured bacterium
Lineage: Bacteria
Description: partial 16S ribosomal RNA
Rfam family: Bacterial small subunit ribosomal RNA
Source: RNAcentral
AUUGAACGCUGGCGGCAGGCCUAACACAUGCAAGUCGAGCGGAUGAAGGGAGCUUGCUCCUGGAUUCAGCGGCGGACGGGUGAGUAAUGCCUAGGAAUCUGCCUGGUAGUGGGGGAUAACGUCCGGAAACGGGCGCUAAUACCGCAUACGUCCUGAGGGAGAAAGUGGGGGAUCUUCGGACCUCACGCUAUCAGAUGAGCCUAGGUCGGAUUAGCUAGUUGGUGGGGUAAAGGCCUACCAAGGCGACGAUCCGUAACUGGUCUGAGAGGAUGAUCAGUCACACUGGAACUGAGACACGGUCCAGACUCCUACGGGAGGCAGCAGUGGGGAAUAUGGGACAAUGGGCGAAAGCCUGAUCCAGCCAUGCCGCGUGUGUGAAGAAGGUCUUCGGAUUGUAAAGCACUUUAAGUUGGGAGGAAGGGCAGUAAGUUAAUACCUUGCCGUUUUGACGUUACCAACAGAAUAAGCACCGGCUAACUUCGUG